This 923-nucleotide ribosomal RNA is filed under the name uncultured Flavobacteriaceae bacterium. Its description in RNAcentral is "bacterial SSU rRNA". It matches the Rfam family "Bacterial small subunit ribosomal RNA", at positions 48 to 979 of the family's 1533-position model. Lineage: Bacteria; Pseudomonadati; Bacteroidota; Flavobacteriia; Flavobacteriales; Flavobacteriaceae. The record is from RNAcentral.
CUUACACAUGCAAGUCGAGGGGUAUAGUAGCAAUACUAGAGACCGGCGCACGGGUGCGUAACGCGUAUGCAAUCUACCUUUUACAGAGGGAUAGCCCAGAGAAAUUUGGAUUAAUACCUCAUAGUAUAGCGACCUGGCAUCAGGAUGUUAUUAAAGUCACAACGGUAAAAGAUGAGCAUGCGUCCCAUUAGCUAGUUGGUAAGGUAACGGCUUACCAAGGCGACGAUGGGUAGGGGUCCUGAGAGGGAGAUCCCCCACACUGGUACUGAGACACGGACCAGACUCCUACGGGAGGCAGCAGUGAGGAAUAUUGGACAAUGGGCGCAAGCCUGAUCCAGCCAUGCCGCGUGCAGGAUGACGGUCCUAUGGAUUGUAAACUGCUUUUGUACAGGAAGAAACCCUUUCACGUGUGAAAGAUUGACGGUACUGUAAGAAUAAGGAUCGGCUAACUCCGUGCCAGCAGCCGCGGUAAUACGGAGGAUCCAAGCGUUAUCCGGAAUCAUUGGGUUUAAAGGGUCCGUAGGCGGCCAGAUAAGUCAGUGGUGAAAGCCCAUCGCUCAACGGUGGAACGGCCAUUGAUACUGUCUGGCUUGAAUUACAAGGAAGUAACUAGAAUAUGUAGUGUAGCGGUGAAAUGCUUAGAGAUUACAUGGAAUACCAAUUGCGAAGGCAGGUUACUACUUGUGGAUUGACGCUGAUGGACGAAAGCGUGGGUAGCGAACAGGAUUAGAUACCCUGGUAGUCCACGCCGUAAACGAUGGAUACUAGCUGUUGGGAGCAAUCUCAGUGGCUAAGCGAAAGUGAUAAGUAUCCCACCUGGGGAGUACGGGCGCAAGCCUGAAACUCAAAGGAAUUGACGGGGGCCCGCACAAGCGGUGGAGCAUGUGGUUUGAUUCGAUGAUACGCGAGGAACCUUACCAGGC